RNAcentral lists this ribosomal RNA (253 nucleotides) under uncultured bacterium. RNAcentral's name for it is "partial 16S ribosomal RNA". It matches the Rfam family "Bacterial small subunit ribosomal RNA", at positions 524 to 776 of the family's 1533-position model. The record is from RNAcentral.
UACGGGGGGGGCAAGCGUUGUUCGGAAUUACUGGGCGUAAAGGGCUCGUAGGUGGCCAACUAAGUCAGACGUGAAAUCCCCAGGCUCAACUCGGGAACUGCGUCUGAUACUGGAUGGCUUGAAUUCGGGAGAGGGAUGCAGAAUUCCAGGUGUAGCGGUGAAAUGCGUAGAUAUCUGGAGGAAUACCGGUGGCGAAGGCGGCAUCCUGGACCGAGAUUGACACUGAUGAGCGAAAGCCAGGGGAGCAAACGGG